GGUGCGACCUCAGCUCGCUGCAACCUCCACCUCCGGGGUUCAAGCAAUUCUCAUGCCUCAGCCUCCAAGUAGCUGGGGUUACAGGCAUGUGUGACCACUCCCAGCUAUUUUUUUUUUUUUUUUUUUGUAUUUUUAGUAGAGACAGGGUUUUACUAUGUUGCUCAGGCUGGUUUCAAACUCCUGACCUCAAGUGAUCCUCCCUUCUCAGCUUCUCAAAGUGCUGGGAUCACACACAUGAGCCACCAUGCCCAGACCUCAGCACUCUUAAAUUUCCAACCAGCAAGGAAGCAACUAGACUGCUCUUUGUGGAUGUCCAACAGUCCUUCAAACUGAACAUAUUCCAAAUGGAAUCCUUGCUUCUCCUCCU
Molecule: long non-coding RNA, 367 nt
Filed under: Callithrix jacchus (white-tufted-ear marmoset)
Lineage: Eukaryota; Metazoa; Chordata; Mammalia; Primates; Cebidae
Description: lncRNA (ENSCJAG00000083579.1)
Source: RNAcentral